Molecule: ribosomal RNA, 491 nt
Filed under: uncultured bacterium
Lineage: Bacteria
Description: partial 16S ribosomal RNA
Rfam family: Bacterial small subunit ribosomal RNA
Source: RNAcentral
GAUGAACGCUAGCUACAGGCUUAACACAUGCAAGUCGCGGGGCAGCACGGGGGUUGCUUGCAACCCCUGAUGGCGACCGGCGCACGGGUGAGUAACGCGUAUCCAACCUGCCCUUCACCACGGGAUAACCCGGCGAAAGUCCGACUAAAACCGUAUGUUGUUCAUUGUCGGCGUCCGAUAUGUACGAACGGCGUGCCGUUGAAAGGGCGGGGAUGGGUUCGAUUAGCUUGCCGGCGGGGUAACGGCCCACGGUGGCUACGAUCGGUAGGGGUUCUGAGAGGAAGGUCCCCCACACUGGAGCUGAGACCCGGUCCAGACUCCUACGGGAGGCAGCAGUGAGGAAUAUUAGUCAAUGGGCGUAAGCCUGAACCAGCCAAGUAGCGUGCAGGAUGACGGCCCUAUGGGUUGUAAACUGCUUUUAUGCGGGGAUAAAGUGGCCCACGUGUGGGCUUUUGCAGGUACCGCAUGAAUAAGGACCGGCUAAUUCCGUG